GGGUGGCGCACUUUUUAAGUCCAGCUGAUGGCUGCAAAACAGUCACACCCAUCUGAAGGCACACAUUAAAACACCAUGUUGACAAGGAGGGCAGGAAAAGUGCAUCCACCUCUCCGACAGCUUCACUCUCUCCAGGAAGACACCAUUCCCAUCGCCCUCAGGGGUACAAACUGAAGCCAAAUCCCCAACUGGAGCAACCAUGGGAAACGAGCAGUCCAGUGAUGCGGAUGUUUCCAUGAACGGCAUUGCUGUUGAGAAACAUGAAAACGGAUCGGUGAACGGCUUCUCUGCACACGUGAAGACUAACGGAGUGGAGACUAAUGUUAAGAGCGAUACACAUCAGAAUGGUGAAGCUAAGUCUUUAAAGCCCGUUGUGGAGCCAAGCACUCAUGUGGCCCUCGAGGUUGCCGCCAAACCCGCCGACGCCGAGGCCUCUUCUGAAGCCGGAGACGCGACCGACGGCAAGAAAAGCAAAGGAAAGGAAAAAGCACAGCUGCUUGAUAAACUGUUCAAAAAGAAAGCGGGCCAUGCAGCUGAUGAAGAUCAGAAAAACCAAAAAGAGAUCUUAAAGGAGGAUGGGAUUGCUCCGCAGAAGGAGGCUGCAGACCUGAAGCCGGGACCAGCGACGGGGACUCCGCAUCCACAUUCAGAGGAAGAGAACGCUCCCGCAGCCGCCAGCAGCAUCAGUCCGCCUGCGGAAGAGGAGGCUGAAGAUAAUCCAGUUAUGAACUUCUUCAAAACACUAGUGACCCCAACGAAAACGUCCAAAAAGGAAACAGCAGCUCCUGAUGCUGCCAAGGAUCAGCCCCCGAAGGAGACCCCACCUGCAGCAACCACCACUGUUGCACAAGUAUCGGAACCGCCUGCUGCACCCAAAGGAAUGCCCGCCCCACCUCCACCUCCUCCGGAGCCUCCCAAAACCGAGGCCAAAGGAGAAGCAACCGUCAAACCUGCGAAGGCCAAAGAUGAACCCAAGGCAGGAGCGAAGGAACCGCAGUCCACAAAGGGGAAAUCGGCCACUUUGAGUAAACUGUUUCGCUCAAAGCACACAGAAGACAAACCACAGCCAGUGGUGGAAGUCGAGAAGAAGGCAGACCCUUCAAAAGCAGCCACUCUGGAGGCUGCAGCAAAGCCAGAACCACCACCGCCUGCGAAGGAAGAAAAGAAAAGCUCAAAAACAUCCUUCUUCUCAGCCUUCAAGCCCAAAGUACUGUUAGAUCACAUGACCACUAAAGUCCAAGCAGCCUCCACAAGUGGAGUACAGCUCCUCAGGAAAACUACUGGACUGGCCGCAGAACCCAAGAAGACUGCAGCGAGCCCACCUGCAGCAGCUGAGGCAGCUGUGGCAGCGAAAGCCAAGGAAGAGCCCAAACCUGCAGCCAAGUCUUCAGAAGCAGCUGCAGAAACCAAACCGGCGUCAGCGGUCUCCCAGCCCGCAGACGACGCAGCCAGUGUCCCCAAAAAGCUGGAGAAAAGGAACUCCAUCCAGCUGUUCUUUAAGAAUCUGGGUCAGAAACGUCACUCCACAGACGCCGGGGUCCAGACGGAACCGGCAGCUGCUGCUCCAGCGGAAAAAGCCAAAUGAAGCCUCUGUCUGUACAUACGACCCCCACUCGACUUUUAUCUGUGCAGAAUUGACUCAGUGUUUUUCUCAUUUCUUUAACUUCCUGUUUGAGAAAUUAAAGCGGAGAGGAGGCUAAGCCGAAGGAUGUGUUGAAGGCUACAUUUCAAGAGUUAUAUAUAUAUUUUUGAUCACAAAUAUCUGAACAGGUGUAGGAAUGUGAGCACGAUCCUUCCUGUGUUUAAUAAUACUUAUACGCUAUAGAUACAGCAGUGCUUUGCUUGCAGGAAUUAACACAGAAAACUAAAGAAUUGCUCUUGGGUUUGCAUGUUUGCUGUCCAAACCAGGAAGUGCAUGCAAUUAAAAGCUGUACUUCAACAUCAAGUUAUAAAUACUAAUGAACCGUUUUGUAUUGUCCAAAUGCCUUUUAAGUACAUUUUAAAAACCUGUAACUGGCAAAAAGUGCGUCUUUGUCUUGUGGUUUGCAUACGUGUCAAGAAUUUAAUGAACGCACUUUGUGUCGCUUCAUUUGAAGUCUGGUGUUAGCUCUUUGUGUCAGACUCGUGUACGGUUAACAUGAUCCUCCAUGUGAGCCGGAUUCUGUAACUUCAGGUAUUUCAAAGACAAUAAACAUGCUCUGCAGUCGUUUGUUCUGUGUCAACUGAAAUCCUUAAUGGUUGGGUGUUGCAGCCUCAGUGACUCAGUGCAUGAAAAUAUGUUCUUGUGGCCGCUGACGAUCAAACAAAGACUCUGAAACAUCCACAUCUGUUUUGGCUGAAAGGCAAUUUAUAUGAAAGUUGAGCUGAACAUCUAGAAAUGGACACGAAUGGAAUAAAAAGAUAUAAAAUAUUGACAUCUGAGGAUGUAAAACUUUGGAAUUUCUGAGCCAGUUUGGCAGUAUUUAAGGCUCACCAUUCAGAAAACUUUCUCUUAUGACUUUAGCAGUAAUCUUCCAUUCUCACUGGUGUAGGAGGAAGACAGUGUGAGCAGAUAUCACAAGUACAUGUCCCUACAUGUAACCUUUCUAAUUCAAAAGCUGGUAAUGUAGCAUUUCUGUGCAAUGACGGUCAGAUUUCAUUAGGAUUGCAUCCUUUCUGUUGUUCAUAGUGAAGAAUAUUAUUGUGAGAGAUCUGUCAAUGUCUUUUUUUUUACCAAAUCUAUUGGUCUACUGAGAUUUACCUCUAAAUAUCUAAAAGUUACGAAAAAAAGUUUCUGAUUUCUGAGUUUGAUUUUACAGUGUAUUUUUCUGCUCACCCACACACGACCACCCUUAAAUUUAGAUUCAAAUUGAUAUAAAUAGUUUUAUUAAAAUUGUAUGAUUUCAGUUAAAAUAGAGGGCGAAACUGUUUCUUGUGCCUGAAGAAUAGUUACACCAGGUAGCAGUGGAUGCGGUUCAUUUUUCCCGUACGAAAAUGCAAGAGUUUGGAUUUUUGUUCGUUUUCUUUUUCAGAGAACAGCUGUGUUGACAUAACUCAACAUAAAUAUAAAUAUGGAUUUGGCUUAAAAUGUAUAAAAAAAUGAACAAAUAAACUUUAAAAUUGUGUGAUUUUGUAAAAGUUUUUUUAAAAAAAUGUAUCAUUUUCGUGGCCCCGAAAUGGUUUGAAAGCAGCAAAGCAGAUGAAUGAACAAAGGAAUGAAGUUGGAUGAUUUCAGUUAAAAUAGAUGGCAAAACUGUUUCUUGUACCUAAAGAUCAGUUACACCUGGUAGCAGUGGAUGCAGUUUACUUUUCCCGCACAAAAAUGCAAGAGUUUGGAUUUUAUUUGUUCGCUUUCUUUUUCAGAGAACAGCUGUGUCAACAUAACUCAACAUAAAUUUGGAUUUGGCUUAAAAUUGACACGUGAAUAAAUACAUUUGAAAAAUUGUAGGAUUUUAGUUAAAAAUAGAUGGCAAAACUGUUUCCUGUACCCAAAGAAUAGCUACAUCAGGUAACAGUGGAUGCAGUUUAUUUUUCCCUCACAGAAAUACCACUUUGUUAACAUAAUUCUAUAUAAAUUUGAAUUUUUGCCAAAGUUUCUUGAAUGAAGAAAUGCUCAGGACAAGUCCCUCCCUCCAGGUACAAGAUCUCUAUUAGACAACUAACACAUCUAUUCUAGAUGUCUACUGGUCAUCUCAGACAACGCCGUUUUUCUACUCAAUCAGACGUCUACCGAUAUUCUUCUCUGCCUAUUGAGGUGUCCUACACAUCUACCCAUUUCUGGGGUAGUUUUAUUUGCAAAUGUUUUCAAAAAAUAAUUUUAAUGGACAUCUAAAAAUACCCAGAGAUUAGAUGUAACUGGUGGAUUUGAGAGAGACAUCUUAAUACAAAACCUCAUUGGUAGAGACAUCUAAUGGGAUAACAAAGAUGGAUGUCUACUAAUUAGCUGAUAGUAGGAAGUUGACCUGUGCGGGUUUGCCCCUUUUUCACACACAGACACCACAGGUUCACACAGGUUUUUUGUAUCAUCUGAAAAAGGCUUUACAAACAGAUAGUAAUCCUAGGGUGACAGGAAACUAUAGACUACAUACAAGAUAAAAUACUGGGGUAAUUUAUUUUAGAAAAGGACCAUAUUUAUCAUGAGUUCACAGCUUCCUCAGUACAGAUGGAUUAUUUAUUUCUAAUGUAUUUAUAUGUUUAUGUAUUUAUGCUGAUGAAUGCAUUUUAUUGAAGUUCUUUUUGUACUUGUGCUGACAUUUGCUCUGCAAAUGGAGUUCCU
This is a long non-coding RNA of Oryzias javanicus (javanese ricefish), 4255 nucleotides long. Lineage: Eukaryota; Metazoa; Chordata; Actinopteri; Beloniformes; Adrianichthyidae. The record is from Ensembl.